UGGGGUGUAGUUCAGUGGCAGAACAUCUGGCUGUUAACCAGAAUGUCGGAGGUUCGAAUCCUCCUGCCCCAGCAA
This 75-nucleotide transfer RNA is filed under the name Candidatus Zhuqueibacterota bacterium. RNAcentral's name for it is "candidate division KSB1 bacterium tRNA-Asn". It matches the Rfam family "tRNA". From Rfam's summary of the family: Transfer RNA (tRNA) molecules are approximately 80 nucleotides in length. The record is from RNAcentral. Lineage: Bacteria; Pseudomonadati.